Molecule: non-coding RNA, 1667 nt
Organism: Carica papaya (papaya)
Lineage: Eukaryota; Viridiplantae; Streptophyta; Magnoliopsida; Brassicales; Caricaceae
Source: RefSeq, a predicted model, not a curated record
CUUUAGCUAAUCGCUAGGAAGCAAGAAAAUAUGGUCAUUGGUCAAUGACAAUAUUCUCCAUUUGGUAGUCAUUUGCUAGUUGAAUUACAGUAACGUGAAUAUUUUUUUCCUGAAAUUGAAAUUUUAUUUUCUAAAGGUUUGCAAAUUCUGUUAGUGUGGCAAUUUCUUCUUUGGGUUGUAAGGGUUUUGGCUAUUGUUUGUUUUUGUUAGGAAGAAGGCAACUUAGAAAAUAAAUUCUGCUUUUUUGCUUAUAAAUAACAACACUGGUAAUCUUGAGACUGUUUUUGUUACUAGCCUACACUUAAAUGUGUCCUUUAGGGGAAAAUCUGACCCAAAAAAAGGAUUUGGCAGGUUGUUCCGAGCAGUUUCUUGGGAUUGGUGCAAUUCUUCAAUAAGAGCGUUGUGUCGUGGCUUCGUCUUCAUUGGCCUUUAGUUGCACGAAUACCAAAUUGCAUUCUUGCCUGAACAUGAAGAAGGCUUUGACACAAUACUCACGAAACUGCCAUCUCUCCCUCCAUGCACUACCAUAGCUGUAGUCCAAAUCCUCCAAAUAGGCUUUUGGAUUUUUCAACUCUGAUGAGUAGAGUUCUAUUAGAGAUCAAACUGCCAACCAAGUUAGACAGCCUCUCUAUGGCCUGAUAGAGACUUCUUAAUCUUGCUCUGCCUGCGUCUUGUGGGAUUAUAGCAUCAAAUCUCUUACUCCCCAUAAAUAUUAUGAUUAAAGCCAAAAAUUGACCUAGCAUUAUGAUUAACCUCAGCCAAGUAAUUAUUUAGGUUCCCUAAAGUUGGUCAAAGGACUGAGAUGAUAACCCAGAUUACUGAUUAUAACUAACAGCCAAUUCAGUCAUUCUCUCCUCAGAUAGAUCCUAAAUUUCCUUGUCUUGAGAAUUCAGUGAUGCGUAAUCUAAAAGAGCUUCCGCCCUCUUCAGUUGAGAAUCUAAACAAUUUUGCCUCAAUUGAAAAAUCUGAAACUCUGUCCAUGUUGAAAGGAAAUUAUAUAAGAAUGAAACUAAGACAAUUGAGAAACAAGGGAGAGAGGAAGACAUCCGCCAAGCCCACAAAGUCCUUUAGUUUUGCUUUUUUUUUUUCAGAAGACCUUCUCUGAGUUGCUGAUUCUUUCUUGGACUUACCUCAAUAAGUAGGAGAGUUGCUUUGCUUCUGUGAGCGACUGGUUUUAUCUCGGAGAUACUUGGCCAUGUGCUCAUCUCCUUCAAUUUGGAACCAAAUGUGCUCAUCUCCUUCAAUCUGGCAUUGGUUCCAAACUAUUAUACAACAUUCUUGUGGAUUUUACAACAUAGCUUCAUGGGGUGGAUCGCACAAUUCUAAUGCGAGCACUGAAGCAGCUCGAACACAAAGGCAAACUUGGAAUAUUCAAAGGAACUUCAACUGAUGAUGAAGGUGUGAAGUUCUCUGUGUAGAGUGUGUUUGCCAGGAACUUAUGUAAGAAAACUAGUCUGCAAGAUAACAGGAUGGCAUAACAGGAUGGCUGCAUCACCAUGGUUGACAGAAUUUCUUCGGCACAUGGUUUAUGUUAAACAGUGAAUUUGUACUUUUGUUAGAGAUGAGUCUCUUUAUAAAAUCUUACAAAGUAAGGUUGUUUAAGAAAGAUCUAUGGUGUUUUGAAGGUGGCUUUAUACUAUUUCAUAUUAAUUUAAUAACUUUUUGUA